This 718-nucleotide ribosomal RNA is filed under the name uncultured Bacteroidota bacterium. RNAcentral describes it as "bacterial SSU rRNA". It matches the Rfam family "Bacterial small subunit ribosomal RNA", at positions 67 to 769 of the family's 1533-position model. Lineage: Bacteria; Pseudomonadati; Bacteroidota. The record is from RNAcentral.
CGAGAACGCCCGGGCCUAGCCGGGGCAAGUACAGUGGCGGACGGGUGCGUAACGCGUAGAUAACCUGCCCUCAGGCGCGGGACAAUCGCGGGAAACCGCGGCUAAUACCGCACGACGUCCGGAUCCCGCAUGGGAGCCGGAUGAAACCUUGGGGUUACCCAGGGGCCUUUGGAUGGGUCUGCGUCGGAUUAGCUUGUUGGUGAGGUAACGGCUCACCAAGGUAGCGAUCCGUAGCUGGUCUGAGAGGACGAUCAGUCACACUGGGACUGAGACACGGCCCAGACUCCUACGGGAGGCAGCAGUGGGGAAUCUUGCACAAUGGGGUCACCCCUGAUGCAGCCAUGCCGCGUGGAGGAAGACACCCCUAUGGGGCGUAAACUCCUUUUCUGAAUGAAGAAGCCCCUGUAGGUUCAGGGCGUGACGGUAUCUCAGGAAUAAGCACCGGCUAACUCCGUGCCAGCAGCCGCGGUAAUACGGAGGGUGCAAGCGUUGUCCGGAAUCACUGGGCGUAAAGGGUGCGCAGGCGGGGCAGCAAGUCGGAGGUGAAAGCCCGUGGCUCAACCACGGAAGUGCCUUCGAAACUGUUGCUCUUGAGUCCCGGAGAGGUUGCCGGAAUUCGUGGUGUAGCGGUGAAAUGCGUAGAUAUCACGAGGAACACCAGAGGCGAAAGCGGGCAACUGGACGGGUACUGACGCUCAGGCACGAAAGCGCGGGGAGC